UACAGAGGUCCCAAGCGUUGUUCGGAUUCACUGGGCGUAAAGGGUGCGUAGGCGGUCGGGUAAGUCUGGCGUGAAAUCUCCAAGCCUAACUUGGAAACUGCGUUGGAUACUAUCCGGCUCGAGGAAUGGAGGGGAGACUGGAAUACUUGGUGUAGCAGUGAAAUGCGUAGAUAUCAAGUGGAACACCAGUGGCGAAGGCGAGUCUCUGGAACGCAACUGACGCUGAGACGCGAAAGCGUGGGGAGCAAACAGG
Molecule: ribosomal RNA, 253 nt
Filed under: uncultured bacterium
Lineage: Bacteria
Description: partial 16S ribosomal RNA
Rfam family: Bacterial small subunit ribosomal RNA
Source: RNAcentral